CCUGAACGCUGGCGGCGUGGCUAAGACAUGCAAGUCGAACGGGCUGGCCCGCAAGGGUCAGUCAGUGGCGGACGGGUGAGUAAAGUAUCGCUAACGUGCCCCCGAGUCGGGGAUAGCCGGCCGAAAGGCCGGGUAAUACCGGGUAAGACCACACCGGGCAUCCGGUUGUGCUCAAAGCCGCAAGGCGCUCGGGGAGCGGGCGAUAUCGUAUCAGCUAGUUGGCGGGGUAACGGCCCACCAAGGCGACGACGCGUAGCUGGUCUGAGAGGACGGCCAGCCACAUCGGGACUGAGACACUGCCCGGACUCCUACGGGGGGCUGCAGUAACGAAUCUUCCGCAAUGCACGCAAGUGUGACGGAGCGACGCCGCGUGUGGGGCGAAGUCCUUCGGGAUGUAAACCACUGUCAGGGGCUACCAAGUUCUGAGGGGCCCCAGAGGAAGGCACGGCUAACUCUGUGCCAGCAGCCGCGGUAAGACAGAGGUGCCGAGCGUUAGGCGGAAUCACUGGGCUUAAAGCGUGUGUAGGCGGACCGUUAAGUGUCCUGUGAAAUCCCACGGCUCACCCGUGGAACGGCUGGGCAGACUGGCGGUCUUGAGAGGCCUAGGGGCAGACGGAACAAGCGGUGGAGCGGUGAAAUGCGUAGAUAUCGCUUGGAACGCCGACGGCGAAA
This 672-nucleotide ribosomal RNA is filed under the name uncultured bacterium. RNAcentral's name for it is "bacterial SSU rRNA". It matches the Rfam family "Bacterial small subunit ribosomal RNA", at positions 28 to 720 of the family's 1533-position model. The record is from RNAcentral.